This 1489-nucleotide ribosomal RNA is filed under the name metagenome. RNAcentral's name for it is "SSU rRNA". It matches the Rfam family "Eukaryotic small subunit ribosomal RNA", at positions 334 to 1801 of the family's 1831-position model. The record is from RNAcentral.
UAGAGGAUUACCAUGGUUUUUAUGGGUAACGGGGAAUAAGGGUUCUAUUCCGGAGAAAAAGCCUGAGAGACGGCUAUUACUUCUAAGGAAGGCAGCAGGCGCGUAAAUUACCCAAUCACAAUUCGUGGAGGUAGUGACGAGAAAUACUAGUAUUGGUCCCAACGGGACCAAUGAUUGGAAUGAGAACAACUUAAAAACAUUAACGACCAACAAUUGGAGGACAAGUCUGGUGCCAGCACCCGCGGUAACUCCAGCUCCAAUAGUGUAUAUUAAAGUUGUUGUAGUUAAAAAGCUCGUAGUUGAUGUCGUGGUUAGAGUAGUUAGGAGAUUAAUGUCUUGGAAACAAGGCAAUUAUUUAAUAAGGAGGUUAACCAUUAAUGGUUGUUGAUUGUUCGAGUAAAAUUGAUAUUAAGAGAGACAAAGUGUUCACUUUGAAAAAAUUAGAGUGUUUAAAACAUACAAUUCGUAUGAAUAUUACAGCAUGGGAUAAAGGAAAAGGACGUUAGAAUCCGUUUGGGAUGGUUUUAGGUUUUAAUUGUAAUGAUUAAAAGGGAUAGUCGAGGUCACUUGUAUUUGAUCGCUAGGGGUGAAAUCCUAUGAUUGAUCAAAGACAAACUAGUGCGAAGGCAUUUGACAAGGAUGUUUUCAUUAGUCAAGAACGAAAGUUAGGGGAUCGAAGAUGAUUAGAUACCGUCGUAGUCUUAACCGUAAACAAUGUCGACAUUGGAUUAGUAAUCAUUAGAUUUAUGAUUUUAUUAGCACAAAGAGAGAAAUCAUUAGUAUUCAGACUCUAGGGGGAGUAUGUUCGCAAGAAUGAAACUUAAAGGAAUUGACGGAAGGGCACCACCAGGAGUGGAACCUGCGGCUUAAUUUGACCCAACACGGGGAAACUUACCAGGUCAGGACACUUGGAGGAUUGACAGAUUGAUAGCUCUUUCUUGAUUAAGUGGGAGGUGGUGCAUGGCCGUUUUUAGUUGGUGGAUUGAUUUGUCUGGUUAAUUCCGACAACGAACGAGACCUUAUUCUGUUAAAUAGUGUAAUCAAAAGGGAAUUUAUUCCUUUAAAUUUGAAUGAAGUAAAUACUUCUUAGAGGGACAGUUCAUAUGUUAAGUGAAAGGAAGUUUAAGGCAAAAACAGGUCUGUUAUGCCCUUAGAUGUUCUGGGCUGCACGCGCGUUACACUGAUACGGUCGAAAAGUUACUUUAAACCUUAUUUGAAAAGACUGGGUAAACUUUAAAGACGUAUCGUGAUUGGGAUAGUGCUUUGUAAUUAUCGCACUUAAACGAGGAAUUCCUAGUAGGGGUAAGUCAUCAACUUGCCCCGACUUCGUCCCUGCCCUUUGUACACACCGCCCGUCGCUCCUAUCGAUUGAAUAGUGCGAUGAGGGUUCAAGAUGGGAGGAGUAUAUUUGUCUGAAAGGAUACUUAUACUAAAAUUAGAAUUUAUUCGAAUCUUAAAAUUUAGAGAAAGGGGAAGUCGUAACAAGGUC